Long non-coding RNA from Triticum dicoccoides, 5345 nucleotides. RefSeq lists it as uncharacterized. The record is from RefSeq and is a predicted model, not a curated record. The transcript is spliced from 3 exons. Lineage: Eukaryota; Viridiplantae; Streptophyta; Magnoliopsida; Poales; Poaceae.
UUUUCCUUUCAUCCGCCUCCAGAUCCCAGGUUUGUGCGCCAAAUCGCCGGCUAGUUCGCCGGCGUUUCUCUGAUCUGAAAUCUUCCGUUUUUCCUCUCUUGUCUGGGUUUUGCUUCAUGCUUGAUCUGUUCCUAGGCUGUGAUGAUCAAAAUACCUACCUAUUUUCUGAGGGAUCUCGAUCCCCCUGCAGAGAAACCAAUUAUUUCUUCUGAGCCUUCCAAGAUCUGCGCAGUUUCUUCUACGUUUCACUUUCUUGAUUUUUGCGUUCGAUCUGAUUUUGCAGCGUAUUCUGGAAAACCAGAUUCGAGUUGAUGGGAUGAUAAUCUCUGGCAGAAAAUCGUUUUUAGUGUUGACCAAAAUUACAGACUACAAUUAUCUGAUCAACUCACCUGAUUAUCUUGAUUUCUGCGUUUUAUCUUCUUUUUGUGUGACGGAUUGGGAGAAGUAGAUUUAAUGGUUGAUGUGAUGAUAAUCUUUCACAGAAAAUCAUGUUUAGUGUUGACCAAAUUACAGACUACAAUUAUCUGAUCAACUCUAGAAUCUCAACCGGUCUGUUCUUUCGUUUCUCUGGAUCUUUUCUUCUUAGGUUGAACUUCCUCUGGAUGAGAAGAGGAAGGAAGCAUGGUAAUGUGCACGGAGAUGGACUGAAUUGGUCUGCAUGUCUGCUCGCCCUGACGCCUUCGGGCUUUGAUCUCGCGGGCCUGGAUUUGACCCACACUACCACUUACCAUCUUCAACAUCGAUUAGUUUUCAGUAGUUACCUUGAUUAAUCUGUUAGUAAGUCUAUUUUUCAAUAGCCUGUCGGAUUUGAUUAAGAUAUAUAGACCUCAUCAAUGGCGCAAACUGUGUCAAGUGACCUCUGCAUGUCUGGUCUCGGUGGCUAAUUAGCCAGUUACACGCAGCAGCCACCUUCAUGGCAGCAAUCUCUGUGUGAAUGGUCAGUAAGCCCACCUACAUCGACUUGAUUUGUUGUGCCAAUUGAAGUAAUGACUCUUUCUUGUGCUCACUUCUUUGAUACAUCAACUCGCAUUUGCAUAACUACAGAAUUACUCCACCUGACAGUACAAAGAUAGUUACAGUGAUGAUUUCUUCAACUUAGCGUCAAACUCUGAAUCAGUAAGGUAAAAUUAGUUACAUCAAGUCGGUCAUAAUCUAGUUACAGUAUUAUUGUUUUUUAUUUUAUUUAAUAUUCAGUUUUAGCAAGGCAAUAAAUUAGAGUCUCUGGUGCGCUUCUUAGUAGCGUAAUUCAGCGCUGUACGUUGCCAAGAUGAAACUUGGGCUAAGAUUCUGGCACAGGCCAUUCUUUGAAAUGGCCUUUGCAUUCAACUUGUCCUUACAUAUCUUAGCACUAAAAUGAAUUUGUUUGGAUAGUGGUAUUAUGGAUGCCUUGAGGUAUCUGAUGCCUGGUCUUCUUUCAUGUCCUUGUUUUUCGUUAGAUUGGCAGACAGCGAGAAGGAAACCGGUUUUUGUGACACUGGCUGCUCUGGUACCAGGAGCUGUCUGUUACUAUACCCCCGUUUACACCUAUUAACUAAAUUGUUCUUUCUGUAGGCGGCUUCAGUGUUUCUUUUUAGUAGUUCUUGGUUCUCUGUGAUGAUGAAAACAGAUGACGAGUCUGAUGUAAUCCAUUCUAUUAAACCAUGUGGACAAUCGAGGCAUUUGUCUGAGAGAGCUUAAUUACUUUGUUUGUUAUUUUCCUUUAUAUUAAAAUGAUUGUGUUGCUGACAUGUGGAAGACAAUUGGUGUCUGAUCUAUUUUUUUGAUAAAUUCCUCCCUACUCAUUCUGAAUUUCUAAUGUGAUAGUGCAUUCUGUCAUGGAUGCUGUAGUUGUCUAAAGGAAAAUUUAUCACCAUUUUUGUUAGCUAUAUUUGACUUAAUGGGUGAAGUGAUGAUAUCAUAACCAUACCACAUUUCUGUAUUCACUGUGAUGAUCAAUUUACAUCAUGCACUACCAUCUGAUCUCCCAUUGAUAUUUUUAUAUGUACUUUCAGCUCUGGUAACAUUUACCCAGAAGUGCACAGUGCUUUUAUCCUUGUAGUUUAUCUCCCUGGUUCUAUUUGUUUCAAUUUUCAUAACUUAAAAUGGAUGUGAGGAUCCUUUCCCCAAAUGAUCGACUAUGAUUAUACUAUGCGCAAAUGUAAUCCCAUCAGGGUUCCAAGCCAGAAAUCUGAUCCAUCUUUUCUACUUUUGCUUUUCAUAUUUUAUUGUUGUCUUCUGGUGAGUAGUUUGAAUGCUAGGCAUGUUUCAUUUCUCCAAAUUAUCAUGCACUAUUGAAGAAUUACUCCAAUUGUCACCACCAAUCCAGUUAAGAAUAUUAUUAUUUCUUCAACAUGCAUCAAACUCUAAAUCGAUAAUCCUUUGUAGUUUCUGUUUCUUGUUUUUCAUUUGGUUCAAUCUGAAACUUCUGAAGGCAAUAAAUUAGAGUCUCUGGUGCACUUCUUAAUAGUGUAAUUCAGCGCUGUACGUUGCUGAGAGCUAUCUUUGGGCCAAGAUUCUGGCACAAGCCAUUCUUUGAGAUGGCUUUUGCAUUCAACUUGUCCAUGCAUAUCUUUUCCCUGAACUGAAUUUUGUUUGGAUAGGGGUAUUAGUGAUGCCAUGAGGUAUCUGAUGCUGGGUCUUCUUUCAUGGCCUUGUUUCUCGUUAGAUUGGCAAACAGUGAGAAGGAAACGGGUUUUUGCGACACUGGCUGCUCUCAUACCAGGAGCUUCCUGUUACUAUACACCCGUUUACAUCAAUCAUUUGGUUCUUUUGUUCUCAAUGAUGAUCAACACUGAUUAGAUGUCCGAUUCAAUCCAUUCCAUUAAGCCAUGGGGACAAACUGAGGCAUUUGUCUGAGAGAACAUGUUAGUACUCUUGCUUUGUCGAAAGCACUUUUUUCACAUUUGCCUUUCUAAAUUGUACUAGUUUUUAGUUCUCUGUGAUGAUGAAAACAGAUGGCGAGUCUGAUAUAAUCCAUUCUAUCAAACCAUGUGGACAAUCGAGGCAUUUGUCUGAGAGUCGUGAGGAAAGUUAAUAUAUUUUAAAUAACUAAUUUUCUUUGUUCUAUGAACACCAGGUAUGUCUGGUUUGCAGCAGUAUUUGGGUCACAAACAAUCAUAUUGUAAUCUGGAGAUGCUAAAUAACAUUGACUAUAUCAUGCCUGUAUACUGCAUCAAGUACAAAGGGCAACUUUCUCCGAAAACUGGCACUUUUGGCGACAUGGGCAGACAGGUAGACUCAAGUCAACCCUCUCAGUUUUUUCCGAGGAAAGACACAAUUAAUGUGAUGCCCGUAUACAAUAUGAACUACCCUGUAUGUCUGAUGAUCAUGGUGCGCACCUGUUCUGACCUUUGCUGAAGCACAACCCGGCACCUUUUCCUGCAAGAAGUGAACAACUGACAUAGAAGAUCAAGAAACAAAAUUUACAUCAGGUUGGAUAUACUAAAAUAACUAUUUCGUUACACUUAGUGCUACACUCAUAUUCAGGAAUUGGGUAGUUGUCUAAUGCACUACAAAUAAAACGAACCAGCUGGCUGGGAACGACUUGUGGCGGUAGGCCCAACAACUGAAUCUAAACAAACUGUGUUACGUGACUGAAACCUUACCAGGGAGCUCACAUGAGAUCGAUCAUUAAGAGUCUGUGUGAUCUCUGAUUCAGGGAUUACCUAGGACACGGGAAGGCAUAUGUGGCUUUUCCACCUUGCAUGGGCAGGGCACAAUAGAUCAUUUAUAUCAUAUUGAAAUCCAAUCAUCUAUGUAUGCAUAUAUUUAUUUCAUCUAUUCAUUGUCAAGUGUCUAACUAUGCAUCCACUAAUCCUAUUUAUCCAUCAGUUCCAUGUAUAUGUAUCUCCAAAGGUACAAUCGAGAUAAAUCAUGGGACAUAAAGAAGAGACCAGACCUGACAUUAAAGUGGCUAGAGCAUGAGCACUGUAUAUUUGUCAAGACAGUGGAGAGGGCAUCUUGCCUCCGGUGACAGCAUAAAUGUUCGAUGCCUGAUGGCGGGGGCGCUCAGCAAGGAUGGGCGCGGCGGCACAAUAGAGCAGGAGAAAGAAGCGAGCUGCAAGUGGUUUAGCUAGAAAUUGGAUAACUUGUGUUGCUCGACAACGCUCGUUGGACAUGCGAAGAAGUGUACUAUGGUCGUGUGAAUCGUGCUCACCUUGGCCUCCACGAUUCCCUCGGAAAGAAAAAGUAUACUAUAGUCGUGUGAGCUGCAAGUGCUAAUGCGUGUGAUAGGGAAACCAUGUUACUAUUGCUCUAAUAUUGAUGAUCGUGAUUAACACAUACUCCUGAGGGACUACGGCAUCAAUCAGCAUUGGUCCAGUGCUAACGAACCUGAUCGGGAAACCCUGAAUAGACGUCAGUGCUGCCAUCAAUCAGCAGAACUGCAUUUGAGUUGAGGUCAGAGUACUAUUGUCCCACACCCCAAGAGAUGCAUGGCUUGCACAGAUAUUGACUACUGCUGCCGGAGUUGCAUGGCGAGAGCUGCCCCCUUGCACCGGCCUAUCAUGAAUCAAUUGGAAGAGACCAUCAGGGGCUCGAUGCAGCUGCCGUGAGCCUCCAGGGGAGUGGAGUUUGUUGGGGAAGAAGCAGCAGCAUGGAGAUGGACGUGCAGAGUGCUGGACGCCGCCGGCACUACCCUCCUGGUGGCUGGCGGUGGUGGACGGUCUUCUGGACCCUUGGCGCUUCUUUAGGAUCGGCAGUUGAGGUUCUGUGUGUUUGUAAUCGUCAUCCAUGUACAUGGGACAUAUACCUCCCUUUUAUAUAUAAGCGCUAGGGAACAGGGACUGGACCAAAACGUUGGUUUGGCACCUCCGAUCGUGGUGCAUCUUUACGUUAGAUCGUGAGGCAAAGGCGGUCAACUACUUUUCCUUUCGGUUUCAGGGUGAAUGCGCUGCAUGUGGAGGACGCGACCUUGAUCAGGUAGGACGGCGGCAUGCCGAACAAAAUUUUAUGAAGAUUGAGAAGAUGAAAAUAGAUGGCAUGGAUAUUGAAAGAGAAAGAGUAGUCGGGAGAGAGAAUGAUAGGUCUCCGGAGUUGUGAGAGAGAUUACGGGAGGGGUAAGUUAGGUGUCCAUGAGUUUUUUUAGUUGUGAGAGAGAUUACGUGAAGGAUAUAGGUUAGGUGUGUCCAUGAGUUUUUUUCUUUUUGGAAGGGAUUAAAGAGUGAUCUAAACCGCAAUAAUUUGGUCCCACCAAAUUAACGGCUGCUAAUUACUGAUUAACAUGGGAAUUUCUUAGGAGUCCGUAAUUAGUAUAGGCAUAGAUAGAUAUAUAUACAGAGAAGAGUAUACCUAUCAUAUAGGUUAUAUACAUAUGUCUACAUUUUCUGUAAAAUGUACUGGGAUAGUUUAUGUGUAAUGAGUUACAU